Molecule: ribosomal RNA, 543 nt
Filed under: uncultured bacterium
Lineage: Bacteria
Description: bacterial SSU rRNA
Rfam family: Bacterial small subunit ribosomal RNA
Source: RNAcentral
AAUAGAUACCCUGGUAGUCCACGCCGUAAACGAUGAGUGCUAAGUGUUAGGGGGUUUCCGCCCCUUAGUGCUGCAGCUAACGCAUUAAGCACUCCGCCUGGGGAGUACGGUCGCAAGACUGAAACUCAAAGGAAUUGACGGGGGCCCGCACAAGCGGUGGAGCAUGUGGUUUAAUUCGAAGCAACGCGAAGAACCUUACCAGGUCUUGACAUCCCAUUGACCGCUAUGGAGACAUAGCUUUCCCUUCGGGGACAGUGGUGACAGGUGGUGCAUGGUUGUCGUCAGCUCGUGUCGUGAGAUGUUGGGUUAAGUCCCGCAACGAGCGCAACCCUUGUUCUUAGUUGCCAUCAUUUAGUUGGGCACUCUAAGGAGACUGCCGGUGACAAACCGGAGGAAGGUGGGGAUGACGUCAAAUCAUCAUGCCCCUUAUGACCUGGGCUACACACGUGCUACAAUGGACGGUACAAACGGUUGCUAACCCGCGAGGGGAGCUAAUCCGAUAAAACCGUUCUCAGUUCGGAUUGUAGGCUGCAACUCGCCUAC